Long non-coding RNA from Cucurbita maxima (winter squash), 474 nucleotides. RefSeq lists it as uncharacterized. The record is from RefSeq and is a predicted model, not a curated record. NCBI's taxonomy places the organism in Eukaryota, Viridiplantae, Streptophyta, Magnoliopsida, Cucurbitales, Cucurbitaceae. The transcript has 2 exons.
UAUGAUAUAGUAUGUGAAACUUUGCUGAUUUAGUAGUUAACUUGUAUUUGAACCUUUUGGUUAUAAAUACUCUAUCGUGAUGUGAUUGGAUGCUCUUACACAAAAUUAGGAGUGUGAUGAAUGACUUAUAAAUACCCUAUAUUGACAUGAUUGAAGGCUCUUGCAAAAAAUUAGGAGUGUGAUGAAUGACUUGCUUAACUCGAGUUGCAAUAUGACUAUCCUUCGUACGAAGGACCUUGUUCAGUGAAAUAAAUUACAUAUUGGAUUAUGUUUUAUGUAAUUCUAUUUUGAAGAAUUGGUUUAUGUUUUAUGUGAUUCUAUUUUGUUGAUGAUAACAAGAAAAGUAAUAGAUGUUAUAGGUCAUUGGGAUACUAUGAUUUAUUUUGUUUUUAUUUUUUUGGUUUACUCAAUAGUGUUAUUAAGGUAGUGAAACUUUAAUGAUCAUUGACAUUUGUAAUAUGAAAUUUUACUCGG